Molecule: ribosomal RNA, 618 nt
Filed under: Alexandrium sp. CCNP 4102
Lineage: Eukaryota; Dinophyceae; Gonyaulacales; Pyrocystaceae
Description: eukaryotic LSU rRNA
Rfam family: Eukaryotic large subunit ribosomal RNA
Source: RNAcentral
UGCGAAUGAACAAGGAACUGCUCAGCUUGAAAAUUGGGGCCUUCGGCCUUGAAUUGUAAUUUUGAAAUGUAUUGCCAAUGGAGGCGCAGGUGCAAGCCUAUUGAAAGAAAGCGUCAAUGAGGGUGAGAUUCCUUUUUGUCAUUUGCAGUCCUCCGUGCACGGUAUAUAUUUGACGAGUCACACUCCUCGGCAUUGGAAUGCAAAGUGGGUGGUAAAUUCCAUGUAAAGGAAAAUAUAUUAUUGAGACUGAUAGCAAACAAGUACCAUGAGGGAAAUAUGAAAAGGACUUUGAAAAGAGAAUUAAAAGAGUCUGCAUUUGCUGAACAGAAAGCAAACAGAAUUGAUCUACUUGGUGAGAUUGUUGCGUCCACUUGUGGGCGCAAUGGUUCUUACCUUGAAUGUCAGCGUCUAUUUCUGCAAAUCAUUACCCUUGCACAUGAAUGGUAAUUUGCCUGUGGGUAUUGGAAUGCAUGUGUUUGCAAUGAUUUGUGAUUUGAUACGUGUGUCUGGUGUUCUUGUGUGUGCCUUCUUGCCAAAAGGGGAGGGCUCUCCUCCCUGGGCACUGCAAGCCCUUGCACAUUGUUGCUGGCAAAAUGUUUCUGCUUGACCCGUCUUGAA